CCUCCAUUUCAGGCAGGGACCGGGCACACAGUCCUGUUCUCUGUGAAGGAAAGGGCUCAGGCCCUCUCUGCAUCAUGUCUUCAGUGCUGGCAAUUUCUUGUUCUCCAGUCCUGUCCUCAAACUCCAGGUCACGA
This is a small nucleolar RNA of Dipodomys spectabilis (banner-tailed kangaroo rat), 134 nucleotides long. RefSeq annotates it as small nucleolar RNA SNORA57. The transcript has a single exon. NCBI's taxonomy places the organism in Eukaryota, Metazoa, Chordata, Mammalia, Rodentia, Heteromyidae. The record is from RefSeq and is a predicted model, not a curated record.